CCCUGGGAACCCUGUAUUUAGUCCGUGUUAGACACAAUGAACCACUUCCAGUUCACUAUCAUCAUUCCUAGGAGGUUAUAAGGCUUUUAUUUUUUAAAAAUCAUCGAGUGACUGAAGGGUUAGGAUUUACUGUUUCAAAAUAUUUUUCAAAAAUUCUUUUGCCUGUGAGGAUGCCAUGGAGAGUAAUAGUUGUUAAAAAGGCUUUAUGUUUCGCAGUAUGGCGUGUGACUUGAAGAGGACAGCUCUUGAAACGAGGCUCUCUCGUGGCUGGACUGGCUUCAGAUGUUAGAAGAGUCGUUGCCAGGGAUGUUGAGGUGUCGUCCUCAAAGUCAUUAUAACAGGCAAGGUGGCUGGACCACGAGCCGAAGUUUACAGCGUCUGUCAUCAAAUCCACAAAAGACGUUGGAAUGUCUUAACAAUGACUAGUGAAAAAAGUAGGGUGGCCUUUAUCUAGUUAUCUCAACCCAAAGAAAAAAAGAGGACAGUCGGCCUUUAUUGUUUUUAUUAUUUCUUCCUGUAAUUGUUUUUUCUGAAUCUCUGAGACACUGAUUUAAAAUAAAAAGAAAACUAACAGAAGGGUUGGGGACGGACGAAGACGUGAGCCACAUAAAAUGUCUUUCUGUGAUGGUGUAAGGACAAGGCAAUCGUGUCGUGAGGAAAUGCUCUACAAUGGCGGGCGUUGGUAGCCUGUUCUACUUCUGCGAUGGAAGAAAAUUGGAAUGGGUAGGAGGGGGAAAAGGGAAGGAGGUCGGUUCGUUGGUUUCCCAUAUCGAUGACGUAUUGCUGGGAUGGCGAAACCUUGGCAUUUCUGUUUGAAAGUGAGGUCUUUGCACGCUACAGUGAUUGUAAUAUAUCACACCAAAGAACUCGCUUCGAGUCUGGCCAGACAUACCGAUAUAAAUGAACAAACAAAACGGCCAAAGAAGCUUUGGCUUUAAGCAGACGAUGUGUUGCUUGCUUGUUUCUUCCGUUCUUUACACCGAAUCAGCUACUGAUGCUACAUCAUGGCAAGCUAGUCCAGUGCUAUAAACAAGUACAAGAUCCGGGGAAAGAAGUCGCAUGUCGGUGCGAGAUCUGAACCUGUGACCCCAUGAUCUUUGCUAUUUUGGUGACACGUGCUUGGCUGUGUGCUACCGUGCAUGCCGCUUUUUAAGCAGAAGAGGAGAAUAAAAGACACGCACGAGGAUUUCAAAAGGUAGAAAAUUAAACAUCAUUCAGUAGUCGAUGCAGUGGUUAAUAUUAUUCGGUGCACGAUGGUGAUGCUUGGUGUUUUCUGCUUUUUCAUGUUGAGCUGUUUCCCUGCAACCUCAAGCAAAGCUGGAGUCCAUUAUGAUAAGAUGUUCUUAGAAGCUACUGAUGUUGCAGACGAUUUUGUUAAGCAAGACGACGGAGCUAGUGUCACACCUCUGCCAGAAUUCACUCACGAAAACCAGUGGGAGACUUCACCAGCCACGAAAAACUUUUCUGUUUCAACCUCUUCUAGGCCUGAACUAACUUGGAAGGACACCGAAGUAGUGACCAAUACCUCGGUGAAGAACAAGGGUGACUUGGAGCUUCUGUCGACAGGCACCACGAGUGGUGAUGUCAUGUCCUUCUCCAGGCUCAACGGACCUUUCUUUACUUUCGCCACAGCGUUUGCUGCAGGACCAAUGAAUGGGUCUCGGGUAUUCGACGGACUCUUCAGGGGAGAAGAGACAAAACACAGUCUUUCUCACGUUUCCGAAAGCCGUUCUGAUCACGUGAUCACGACAGAAUGGUCUGACAGAGGUGCCAUGCUCGAGAUGGCCGCUGACAGUACGAAGGAAAAUAGGAGCAGCGGCGGGACAAGAUCCCCAGCAAACCUGUGCUCUGUCAGUGUCGUCAGCGAAGACAUCCUAGUGGACUACCACAACGACUCCCAAGAAGCUCCGCCGGUUUUGUCUCCUGAAACGUACGCCUAUAUCAGCAAAGUUCUGGACAAUGUACGCUUGCCGUGGGACGUCACUUCCGGCUUGCUGACCCUGACGAGUACAUGCAUAUAUAUGCUUCCGGGCAUGCGCAGUCCCACAGGCUAUUAUCUCGUCUCUAUGAACUUGUUUGAGACGCUGUCCGCGCUUACCGGAGUCGUGGGGCUGUGGUGGAGAACAGUGGAUGGACCCGAAGUUGCUUACACUGAGACGUACAACUACGUGCAGAUGGUGUGUGCAAUGUACAUCAACCUCUGCUGCCGGCGCUGCGUCUACUGGCUGGCGGUCGUCGUGUCCAUCGAGCGAGUCUUCGCCGUCAAGUGUCCACUGAGGGCCCGCUACGGCAAGCUGGUCAGGUUUCCCAUGCUGUUUAUCUUGGCCGAUGUGACUGCCACAGUGGCAUUUCACACCUACAUCCCGCUGUCUUAUCGGGUAGUGCAGAAGGAGGCUACCUGUCAGUACCACGUCACAUUCACGGCCUUGUACCUGCAGCAGGUAGAUGACUUUCAAAUCGUCUCCAACGCCGCGAAGUACAUCUUCGCCUACCUACCCCUGUUGGCCGGGGUCUGCACCAACGUGGCCUUGUACCUGGCACUCCAACAGGAGUCGCGCACUCACCUGUCCCUGUGCGCUGUCCACCAGGGGGCGCCACUCCGAAAGAAGAUGCUGGUACAGCGACAGCUGGCCCUGGCUAUCUUGGUGUCGAACACUGUGUUCACGCUGCUGUCACUACCCAACAACACCAUUCACCUGGUCUCCACCUACCACGCAACCUUCGGCCUGGGCAAGCGGGACCAUCACCUGUACCUCAUCCUGUCCCACGGGGCUCUCCUCCUGGUGGAUCUCAGUCGCGUCACCAGCUUCCUGUCCUACGUCACCCUCAGCACCAAGUUCCGGCGAAACGUUCUGCGCAUGCUCACGCCGCGGUCUGCGCUGAAGAAGCUCGGCGCCUGGGGGAUGGGCGACUUGACCAGAGCUACGGUCGACACGCGGUUACAAAUAACAUUCUCCAGCGGAGCAGUGCCAACUGUCACUGGCAGCAUGUCUGUCUCUUAUGCUUAAUAUUCUGUUAUUUAUAGUUUACUUCUUGGUUGCUGACACCUUGUAGAGGUAGUUAUAUGUAUGAAAGCGAGUUCAACCCUUUAGUCUUUAGUAUUUACUAAUCUGUGUCGUGAAAGAUGUUAAGGCUAACCUUUGAAUCAACGAGCUAGUACAGUAAAUAUAAUAAAAAAAUAGUAUGUAAGUCAGGUCAAAAUUAACUACAAUGAUUUUAUUUCUACACAUUACAGAAAAAUGUGUUACUCUUCAAAUGGCGAGAGUGUGUUAUUGUUUUGAAAAAUAUUGAGUACAGAAUUUUGUAAGAAGAAAAAUUUUCAACGCAUAGUCAUCGAGGCAGCACGGACUUUUUUUUUUUUUUAUAUAUAAAAAGGCGUCUAGCAGCCUCUUAAUUAGUCAUCAUGCAUAUUUAACUAAUUUUGUAUCAUGUUCAUCAAAAUCACGGUUCCCGUACGUCUAGAGCAUGUAUAAAUUUUUUCCAAUUUUAUUAUAUAAAAUCGACUAAAAGCAGACUAAUCUAUUCCAGGAAGCGUAAGUGUUCAGGUAAUUUAUGACACUCAUUAUUUUACAGCAACUCUUGAAUUUAGAUAAAGAUUUUUACAAAAUAUCUUGAAAAAGUAAAUGGUGUCUGCAUAUCAUUUUUUAAAAUAUUGAAAUUAGACCAAAGGAGAGUUAUUAUGAAGGAUUUAUUAGUGGUCAGCGUUAAUUACUUUAGCUGGACUGCGAUUAAUUGUUUAAUGUAAUGCAAAUUCAUCUCGAGUAUUGUCACUCUUUAUAAAUAACGGGUACUGCUAAUCCCCACCCCUUUAAAUCCUUUUUUCUCCCCUUGCCGCUUUACCUGUCCGCCCGGUGGCGCCUGUCUCCAAUACAGUCAGGAUUGUCUGUCCUGGGUUCAGAUCUCGUCUCAGGCUUGCUGUUCUUUCUCUGCAUGUGGCACCUGUCUUUACAGGGCUGGAUGCUUUUUGCCGUGAUAUAGCUUAAUUGCUGGCUUGGCAUAACACUCUUAUCAUACCCCUUCUUCCCUCCAAUCCGCGUUACCUCUCUCUCACUCAUUCUCUGGUUUAGUUACCACCUAGAUACCACUCUCCGAGCUUUCAAGUUUGUCUCAUUUGCUCACGUGUUUUCUAGCGGAUUCUUGGCUGCAGAUGUUUUCCUGUCAGAGUCACCAUGACUCAGGGUCAAAGAUUUAUUUAAAGUCUCGUAAGAACACAUUAACCUCUGCGCCCUAGCGAUAUGCGAACUAUUAGCUGCAAAUUAAGCGUGGGAAGUGAGAUUAAAGGGUUGUCAUGGAAGUCCGUUGUACACCGCCAUUUUAAAAUUAAUUUAUUUGUUUUCGUGCUAGAGAUUAUCAGCUUGGGAAAGGAGGCUGUAAAAAAAAAAAAUAGCAGGAAUUAGAGAUUUAGCAGAUGCACUUAUAUCUUUGGGGUGGCAGGUUUAAUUUUGAGCGAAUGCCUGUGGCAUUGUAUGUCUCUGUUUACAACUAAGCUGUGCUAGGUAAUGAGGGGACAAGAAAACUUUAUACAUACAAGUAAAAGAAUAAGCUGUCGUGGGAAAUUUUUGAGGAUGUAUCUCUACUCAUCAUCUGGAAUCCAUCCAUACAGCAACCAAAGUCAAGCACACACACACAUAUACACCACAUCCAUUUUUUUUUUUUUUUGCCAUCCUUUCAUCUACUUGGUUUCUCCUCUACUUGUCUUCCUCCUUCUCGCUAAACAGGAAGCCAAAGGCGAUUUCACAAGAUGGUGAUCUUGUGCAAGCGUUAAAGAAGGGCGGGUAUCACUUGUGAGGAACGGGUGGCGCAGACGGUAGGAGUUGACUCGCACUUUCUUACCGUACCUACGGGAGUGGUUAGGUCGCUUUGUUGUGCUGGAACUCUCUUCUGGCUUGUGUUUGUUUGCCUGUGGCUGCCAGAGAGCUUCAGGUCUCCAGGACCCGGUUGCAUUGCUCGGGCGUAGCUAGUCCCCUGCUAGUCCCGACUAAACCCCCUUAUACCCGACUAGCUAGUCUCCUCACUUACGCCGGUUGCACUGCUCUGGACUAGGCUCGGGACUAGCCACGUCCGAACUAGUAGCUACGGACUAAGGGUUUUACAAAAACCUUCACGGGCUUCCACCGCGAAACGAAAUUUUCACGCGGGAGAUCACUCUAAUCUCGAAAAUGUCAGAUGCUAAAGUGACAGCCAAAUUGAAAAAUAAAACGUCUAUGGAUUAAUAGUGACAGUCGCUGCAAAUCAGACGUUGCUCUUGUCAAAAUUUCGAACGGACUGCAACUGAAAGAAGCAGCGGAAAGAUGUGGUGAGGAUGGUGUGUGCCCAGUCGUCGGCAGAACGAUCAAUGCAUGAGGCAAUGAAGAAAUGCUCCGCGAGUGAUAAACAAUGUCCACAAUGUAAAGCGGCCCUGUAC
RNAcentral lists this unclassified non-coding RNA (5404 nucleotides) under Pomacea canaliculata. RNAcentral's name for it is "uncharacterized LOC112574804, transcript variant X3". Lineage: Eukaryota; Metazoa; Mollusca; Gastropoda; Architaenioglossa; Ampullariidae. The record is from RNAcentral.